GAUGAACGCUGGCGGCGUGCCUAAUACAUGCAAGUCGAGCGAACGGACGAGAAGCUUGCUUCUCUGAUGUUAGCGGCGGACGGGUGAGUAACACGUGGAUAACCUACCUAUAAGACUGGGAUAACUUCGGGAAACCGGAGCUAAUACCGGAUAAUAUUUUGAACCGCAUGGUUCAAAAGUGAAAGACGGUCUUGCUGUCACUUAUAGAUGGAUCCGCGCUGCAUUAGCUAGUUGGUAAGGUAACGGCUUACCAAGGCAACGAUGCAUAGCCGACCUGAGAGGGUGAUCGGCCACACUGGAACUGAGACACGGUCCAGACUCCUACGGGAGGCAGCAGUAGGGAAUCUUCCGCGAUGGGCGAAAGCCGGACGGAGCAACGCCGCGUGAGUGAUGAAGGUCUUCGGAUCGUAAAACUCUGUUAUUAGGGAAGAACAUAUGUGUAAGUAACUGUGCACAUCUUGACGGUACCUAAUCAGAAAGCCACGGCUAACUACGUG
Molecule: ribosomal RNA, 497 nt
Filed under: uncultured bacterium
Lineage: Bacteria
Description: partial 16S ribosomal RNA
Rfam family: Bacterial small subunit ribosomal RNA
Source: RNAcentral